CAAUAGCGUAUAUUAAAGUUGUUGCAGUUAAAAAGCUCGUAGUUGGAUUUCUGGUGGGAGCGAUCGGUCUGGCGCUUAGCGCGAGUACUUGCAUCGUCUCCGGCCAUCCUUGGGGAGAGUCUGUCUGGCAUUAGGUUGUCGGGCAGAGGAUCCUCAUCGUUUGCUGUGAGAAAAUUAGAGUGUUCAAAGCAGGCUUAUGCCGUUGAAUAUAUUAGCAUGGAAUAAUAAGAUAGGACUUUGGUACUAUUUUGUUGGUUUGCGCACCAAAGUAAUGAUUAAUAGGGACAGUUGGGGGUAUUCGUAUUCCGUUGUCAGAGGUGAAAUUCUUGGAUUUACGGAAGACGAACUACUGCGAAAGCAUUUACCAAGGAUGUUUUCAUUAA
Molecule: ribosomal RNA, 383 nt
Filed under: uncultured eukaryote
Lineage: Eukaryota
Description: partial 18S ribosomal RNA
Rfam family: Eukaryotic small subunit ribosomal RNA
Source: RNAcentral